This 497-nucleotide ribosomal RNA is filed under the name uncultured bacterium. RNAcentral describes it as "partial 16S ribosomal RNA". It matches the Rfam family "Bacterial small subunit ribosomal RNA", at positions 28 to 507 of the family's 1533-position model. The record is from RNAcentral.
GAUGAACGCUGGCGGCGUGCCUAAUACAUGCAAGUCGAGCGGACAGACGAGGAGCUUGCUCCUCUGACGUUAGCGGCGGACGGGUGAGUAACACGUGGAUAACCUACCUAUAAGACUGGGAUAACUUCGGGAAACCGGAGCUAAUACCGGAUAACAUGUUGAACCGCAUGGUUCAACAGUGAAAGACGGUCUUGCUGUCACUUAUAGAUGGAUCCGCGCCGCAUUAGCUAGUUGGUAAGGUAACGGCUUACCAAGGCAACGAUGCGUAGCCGACCUGAGAGGGUGAUCGGCCACACUGGAACUGAGACACGGUCCAGACUCCUACGGGAGGCAGCAGUAGGGAAUCUUCCGCAAUGGGCGAAAGCCUGACGGAGCAACGCCGCGUGAGUGAAGAAGGUCUUCGGAUCGUAAAACUCUGUUAUUAGGGAAGAACAAAUGUGUAAGUAACUAUGCACGUCUUGACGGUACCUAAUCAGAAAGCCACGGCUAACUACGUG